Molecule: long non-coding RNA, 1090 nt
Organism: Stomoxys calcitrans (stable fly)
Lineage: Eukaryota; Metazoa; Arthropoda; Insecta; Diptera; Muscidae
Exons: 4
Source: RefSeq, a predicted model, not a curated record
UUGGUGUUAGACGUGUCAAAAAAAUAGUUUAUACGAAGAGAAAAAAAAAAUAUUCGAAGAUUUAAUUGAAUAAUUUUUAAGGAGAUAAAAGGAUCACGAGCAUACCACAUCAAACUAAUUUUUAUUUUCCUGUUGUUUGGAUGAUGAUAUCGCCGAUUCCUCUGUGAAUCGGCGCUGUCUACGAUUCCCAAAUUUCCUUAGACAUCAAUCCCCUAAUUAUUAUAUAAUCGGUCCCAAAGACCAAUUGAUGCCUUUUAAAGGCGGAUAUUGAGAUUUUUGAUUCUACUAAUAUCAAGACCGGAGUCUUCUAAUCGAUGGUUUGAUUAGAGCUCAAAGAACCCAAAAUUGACCUAAUACCCUGACUCGUCAAAUCAAUACAUCAAAUGCUAGAGUCUUCCCGUCCAUAGUUUUAUUGGAGCCCAAUGGAUACAGCAUUUCCCUAUUACCGAAUUGUGUCAAUUAAAGAAUCCUGGGGAUUCUCAUUCUUUUUCAAUUGAAGAUAAAACAAGAAUAAUGUAUAGUAUAUACAUUUAGUUUAUUUUCCCCAUUAUUACACACAAGACAAUUAUUAAAUGUAUAUGUUACUUUGGCGCACGAGCAAAGCAAAUUUGAAGCCUUAACUUUUAUAACCACCCAGAACUAUAGCAAUUUCAAAUCCCACGUCUGAAGGCCUAAGGACAUCAUGGAUAUUAGCUGAGACAAUAAUAUAUUGUUAGUGGCUAUAUUCCAAAGUGGAGAUGACCCAUCUUUUUAGAUCUGCAGAUCCCAGGCCUGCCGUUAUGCAUCCUUUAGUAGGUUAGAUAAGACUUAGUGUUUGGCGAACCUCCCCAAUCCCCAAAACACCCCUAAAUCGGGCAUAUUUACAGACCAUGUAAAUUUGGAGCAAAUCAAAGGCAUUUGGAGUGUAGAGCAACAUUUGUUACCCACUUUCGGGACCAAUUUUCUGGGGGUCUACCUCUCCCCCGAAAACACCACUAAAUCAGACAUCAUGAGAAUAUCGGGCUAAAAUUAAGUAUUUCUGAAAUGGAGUACACCUUACAUCCAAACUUAAAUUUGUAGACCAAUAAAGAUCAUGUGGGAUUCAGAUAAA